GAUGAACGCUGGCGGCGUGCCUAAUACAUGCCAGUCGAGCGAACAGACGAGGAGCUUGCUCUUCUGACGUUAGCGGCGGACGGGUGAGUAACACGUGGAUAACCUACCUAUAAGACUGGGAUAACUUCGGGAAACCGGAGCUAAUACCGGAUAAUAUAUUGAACCGCAUGGUUCUAAAGUGAAAGACGGUUUUGCUGUCACUUAUAGAUGGAUCCGCGCCGCAUUAGCUAGUUGGUAAGGUAACGGCUUACCAAGGCAACGAUGCUUAGCCGACCUGAGAGGGGGACCGCCCAAACUGGAACGGGAACACGGUCCAGCCCCCUCCGGGAGGCAGCAGUAGGGAAUCUUCCGCAAUGGGCGAAAGCCUGACGGAGCAACGCCGCGUGAGUGAUGAAGGUCUUCGGAUCGUAAACCUCUGUUAUUAGGGAAGAACAAAUGUGUAAGUAACUAUGCACGUCUUGACGGUACCUAAUCAGAAAGCCACGGCUAACUACGUG
Molecule: ribosomal RNA, 497 nt
Filed under: uncultured bacterium
Lineage: Bacteria
Description: partial 16S ribosomal RNA
Rfam family: Bacterial small subunit ribosomal RNA
Source: RNAcentral